ACAUAUGAUUUAUGAUGCUUUUGUUGGUGAUGAUGAUGAUGAUGAUGAGGAUGGUUUUGAAACUUAAUUGUUUUUACUUUUGGAAUAUAUAUCAUAUACCUACUAGCAGAUAGAAUAGACACUCUAACAUGUUCUUCUAUCCGCUUUUCUUUGCAUUUAAGGUGUAUUUGAUUAAAAUACCCCAUCCGUCUUAAAUUGUAUGUCAUUUUAGGAAAAAAAAUUGUCCCAAAUUGUAUGUCACUUUACAAUACCAAUGAAAUAUUAAUGUUACUUUUCCUAUUAUAUCCUUAAUUAUUUAUUACUCUUUCUUCUUUCAAUUCUUUCAUUUAUCUUUCCCAUAUCAUUUAUUAAGGACAAUUUUGUAAAACAACUCAUAAUAUCUAUUUCCCACACAAUAUUAAUUACAUUUCUUAAUAUGUGUUAAAUGCCCAAAACGUCAUGCAAUUUGGGAUGGAGGGAGUAAGUUAUAAGCCAGUGAUAAGGAGGAUUUUUCCUAUCCUGGUACAAUAGUAAGUAUUAUGUAUGUUUCUUUAAAAAUAAAUUAUGGAACCUUAUUCGCGCACAAUAUUAAGUAUUAUGUAAACAAAGUUUUACAAAAGCUUUUUCUUAACAGGAUUAGAUUUCAUCAAUAACAAUUAUUCCUCGUAUUUUUCAUUCUAAUCGAUUAUAUAUUUUUUUAUGCUUCAAAUAUAACUCGAGAUAUACUUCAGUAUACAUCUCCAAUUCUGAUUAAGGAUGUGAGAUCUAUUGAAUCCACCGAAUUAUGAUGCUCGAUGGCAACAUAGUCGAUUGCAUAGUUUUAAAAAUCGGCUUGGACCGGUCCAACCAGAAAUCGGUGGGGUAUCCUGUUCGGUCUGCAUGAUGGAUCGGCUAUGCAGUUAAACCGAUGGGAACCGGGUGAAAAUCAGCAAAACUCGGGAAAAACCGGUGACAUUGUGGGUUAAUGUGAACCGGGCAAGUCAACAGCAUUUGACCGCACAUCCAAAUUAACUUUUAAAAAAAUUUUAAAUUUGGCAUAGGUGGGACUUGAACACAGGACCAACUACUAGCGUGACCCUUUUUUAUUUUUUUUUUUAAUUUAUUUAUUAUUGUUUUGAGCUAAACACAAUAGAUAGAGGAAGAGAGAAAGAUUAAUAAGACGAUACCAAUUUUUUGCAAGUGUACGAAAUCAUGUAAUUAGUAAAGUUAAAACGGAAAAACAAGUGUUGAACUCGAGGACUGCGUCAUAUUGUCGAAUUGUAUAUUUUAAAACUUAAUUGAACAAAAAGAUACGAGUGUGUUGUUUGUAAUUUUUGCUACUACGAAAAUUGAAUAAAAGUCAGUUAUAAUCUAAAUGUGUUAGCAUGAGUACGGCUUGGUUACAAACUUUACACUAUUAAUCUCAUCCUAUAAAUUUAAUUCAUUAUUCAUGUUAUUAUCAGUUUCUUAGAUUGUUUAAUUCUAAUCUAUUGGUGAUUAAACCUUUAACCUUGAGAUAACCCUUAAUUCAUCUCUUAGUGAAUUUUAAAUCAAUAUAAAACUACAAAUAUUUGAAAAUAUAAUAAUUUCAAGGGUUCACAACUAUAUAUAGACUACGAUAGUAAGAACAUAUUUAAUCUCAAAUAUUCACAAAUUUCAAUCUCGUUUUAAAUUGUAAAUCUUACAUGAAUUUAAGGUUGGACAAACAAUAAUAAGCAUUAAGGUCAUGUUUUGUCAAUACAACUCAUCCAUAACAAGAGAAAAAAAUAUCUACCCAUAAUAUUAGUCAAAUAUAUCGGGUGUACCAUAGAAUUUGCCAAUUAAAUCACCCCUCACCCUAAUUCUUCCUUUGUCGUUAGUAACUUAUGUUAGUGUCUCUCUUCAGAAACCAAUGUCCUCAAGUCAAUCACGUGAUUUUCUAAUUAUUCAUGUCCAUCUAAUUUGUUGUGGUGGAACAAUGAUAAAGAAGUGUCAAGGAAUUAUAUGAACCAAUGGUGCAUUUAGGAGAGGGGACCGCGUGAACAUAGAGAGAAGUCAGAAUGUACAAGACUCCAUGCGUACAUUGGAGUGUAUUUUGUGGUGGUUUAUUUGAUGCCACCAGUAAGAUACUUUUGGCAACUAUGUUGAGAAAAGUUCAGUAAAAUAUCUCUGGCAACCAUGUUGAGAAAAGUCCAGUAACAUAUCUCUGGCAACCAUGUUGAGAAAAAUCCAAUAAUAUAACUCUGGCAAAAUGAUGAGUAAGUGUGGUACCACAUUCAUAUAGAUCUUAGGACUGAGUCCAUAUGCAUACAAAUUCAUGAUGAUCUGUAUUUGGUGAAUAAGUGUUACUGUGUCUGUGUGCAACGACGAAGGUGAUUAUCUGUUGAGGUUCUUAUGAAGAUUGUUAUUGGUGACUAUUUUAGAAUUGAAUUGUGACAUUGUGUUUGUGAAGAUUUUGGUUCUUAUUCCGUAAUGAUAUUUUUUAUUGAUGUGGAUUGCGUUGAUAUAGUAUAUACUUCAAGGUUCUGAAUAUUGUGUUAGUGAUGUAAUACGACUUUAACUUAAUUGCUUACGUGUUCUUCUCGUUUAUUUUAUACUUUUACAUGUUCUCGAAACUCACCUCUUCGUUGUUUGUGUUUGCUGGCUUGGCCCUGCGGUUGCGAAACCGUAGUUCUAUAGGUUGUGAGUCUUGGAGUCACGUACAUGCCUUCCAUGAAGACUUGUCUCAUGUCGUCUGUUAUUUUGGGGGGAAACACCGCUCUGAUAGUGACACGGGAAAAGGGAUAUGCUUACUUAUUUAAUUUUGUACAAGAAAAUCAUUGCUUGUGAUGUAAUAGAAAUUAUUUUCAAAAGCAAAAGAUUCAAUGUUAAUAUUAUAAUAAUUUUCAAGGAAGGGAAAUUUGAAUUAUGUUUGUUAUGAGUCAAUGUGAUAUCCUAAAUCUUGCAAAAGAAUUCUUAUAUUAAUAGAAAAGUUUUUAUUUGACAUUUUCUGCCGUGAAUCAAACUCUGUUUUUCGAAUGAAUAAUAGUAAUAUUUAUUUUUGGGACUUAGGGUGUCACACUUUCCAUCCCUUUCGGUUUCGAAUAGAGCGGUUAUGUACCGUCCUGAGUGGCUUUAAUCGUUCAAUUAAACCAUAUUUUGAGGUGUAUAUCUCGAGCGAUUAUAUACUGUGCAGUAUGUAAUCGUAACAGUGAUCUGGGCUGUUUUAUCCUGGAGACGGCGUGGUUGUUAGUUUACUUUGCAUAAUUUAAGUAGUGCCGCCAAACAUGUUAAAGUGAGCAACCUGAUCGUGACUCAACCCGAUAAUUCCUUUAGUAGUGGUUCUGAUUUUUAAACACAAAAAUAACAGAAACUCAUGUUAGUUAGUUUUACAAUGUUCAAGACAAAGUGACAAACAAAUCCUUCAAUGCAGUAAACCACACUACCGCAAAAGUUGACAAAAUCAAGGGGAGAACUAUUAUAAAGUACUAUAAUAAAUAUACACACACUCACACACCUUAAAUUUUCAAGUAAAUAACACCUCCAUCUAGAAAAUUGUUGUAUACACAUGUUGUUUGGCUGAGAAACACAUGUAAAAGACAAAAAUACCCUUCGGUAGUUAACUGUCGAGGAAAAAUAAAACCGGCUGCAGUUAUCUACCGAGGAAAACCUCGGCAGUUAACUACCGAGGAAAAGAAAAUUUCAAAAAUAAAUCUCCUUCGGCACUUAAGUACCAAGGAGUUGUUUCUAGGUUUUUAAUAUCAAGCCUAAUAGGCAAGUUAGCAACUAUAGUUUCUUACGGUUUUUAUUUAUUUAUUAUUAUCAUGUUAUAGGUAAGUUAGCAACUAUAUACCCGUCCCCCGUCCCAUACCCAUGUUUCGAGAUCGGGGAAAACUCAUACCCAUACCCAAACCCAGUCAAAACGGGGAAAACCCGUCAAAUUGAGUUUGGUUUGGACGGGUAACCACGGGUAUGGGUUUUGUUGCCAUGCCUAUCCAUAAGUCUGCGCAUCUUCCUAAUGUGUUUCGUCCAUUCCUAUUUUGAAGGCACAAUAAUUGCAUUAUUUUUUGGGAAGUACUCAGCAUCUCUUACUCAUAAAAUUCUGCGCACCUUCCUAAUGUUUUUCGUCCAUUCCUAUUUUGAAGGCAAAAUAAUUGCAUUAUUUUUUGGAAAGUACUCAGCAUCUCUUACUCAUAAAGUCUGAGCACCUUUCUAAUGUGUUUCGUCCAUUCCUAUUUUGAAGGCGCAAUAAUUGCAUUAUUUUUUGGAAAGUACUCAUCAUCUCUUACUCAUAGAAGUCUGCGCACCUUCCUAAUGUGUUUCGUCCAUUCCUUGAUAUGUAUUGGAUACUCUCCUGAUAUAUCGAGCAGAGAUAUCAAUGUAUCAUACAUAUCAAAUACUAGUAUUUCAUCAAUUUUAAAGUAUCGCGGCUUAAAAUUAAUCACUAAAUUUAGCCAUCGAAACUAUGCACGGAUGUCUUGUUUCGAAAUUUAGUUAUUGUGUACACUAAAUUAAAAGUCUUUAUUGAGUCAAAUAGGGCAUCUAUUAGGGUUUAAAUGCAUGCAUAAUCUAUGAUUAAUUUAACUGUAUUACUCCUAUUUAAUUAACCCUAUUUAAUUUAAUCAAAAUGUUAUGUUAUGCAAAGCAAAAUAAACAAAUCUCUUAAAUUAUUUCCUAAUUAUUUGCAUGAAAUAUUAAAUGCUUGGUAAAUUCGAUUCAUGCUUAUCUAAAUAAUUAAUCAACAAAUUAAUAUUAAGGGGGAUAUUCAGGGAUGAAAGGAGUAGUUCCUUAAAUAUCAUUUUCAUUAAAAAUAUUUAUUGUGUACACUUUGUAUGUUAGAUCUUUUGUCUUUUUGUGGGUCUCAAUUAUAGGUAGGAAUCAAAACCUAAUUGAGCAGUGAAGUACCACGAAGAUGGGAAGAGUGGAAAAAAAUCUCACGCGCAAUUCCAUAAUAUUUUGUUUUUUUUCUUUCUUUCUCAAUACAUAUACCUUAUUACAACAUCGUAAACAUGCAAGAAUUGUAAGACCUUAUUAUAAUUCCAUAACCAAGAACACAAAAUCUCUCAAAUCUCUUUGAUAUUUUGUUCAAGAACAUGGCUUACUGUGGAUACCCAGAGGCUUAUCCACAUGCAUAUCCACCGAAUCCACCAACUUAUUCACAGGUUCCACAGACUUAUUCACAUGCUCCACCAACUUACCCACAACCUCCAUCAGUUUAUCCACAGGUUCCGCCAGCUUAUCCACAACCUCCACCGCCGGCUUAUCCAUACCCUCCACCGGCUUAUCCACAAGCUCCACCGGUUCCAGCGACCUAUCUAUAUACUCCACAACCUUAUUUGCAGGCUCCACCAAUGUAUCCACAUGUUAAUCCAAGACCACAAAAACCUAAGAGGAGUCGUUUUGAAAGAUUGGGAUUAAAAGUAGGGUUGAUUGGAGUUGCAUGUGCAAUAACCAGUGGGGUGACUGGAGUUGAACAUAUGAUUUAUGAUGCUUUUGUUGGUGAUGAUGAUGAUGAUGAUGAGGAUGGUUUUGAAACUUAAUUGUUUUUACUUUUGGAAUAUAUAUCAUAUACCUACUAGCAGAUAGAAUAGACACUCUAACAUGUUCUUCUAUCCGCUUUUCUUUGCAUUUAAGGUGUAUUUGAUUAAAAUACCCCAUCCGUCUUAAAUUGUAUGUCAUUUUAGGAAAAAAAAUUGUCCCAAAUUGUAUGUCACUUUACAAUACCAAUGAAAUAUUAAUGUUACUUUUCCUAUUAUAUCCUUAA
This 5680-nucleotide long non-coding RNA is filed under the name Medicago truncatula (barrel medic). RNAcentral's name for it is "long non-coding RNA (MTRU_LNC004502)". Lineage: Eukaryota; Viridiplantae; Streptophyta; Magnoliopsida; Fabales; Fabaceae. The record is from RNAcentral.